GUCUACAGCCUUGCUACCCUGAACAAGCCCUGAUAAUGGAAGCUAAGCAGGGCCAGGCCUGGUUAGUACUUGGAUGGGAGACCACCAGGAAGACCAGGUACUGUAGGCG
Molecule: ribosomal RNA, 109 nt
Filed under: Pteropus alecto (black flying fox)
Lineage: Eukaryota; Metazoa; Chordata; Mammalia; Chiroptera; Pteropodidae
Source: RNAcentral